Molecule: ribosomal RNA, 466 nt
Filed under: uncultured bacterium
Lineage: Bacteria
Description: partial 16S ribosomal RNA
Rfam family: Bacterial small subunit ribosomal RNA
Source: RNAcentral
GAUGAACGCUGGCGGCGUGCUUAACACAUGCAAGUCGAACGGAAAGGCUCCUGCUUGCAGGGGUACUCGAGUGGCGAACGGGUGAGUAACACGUGGGUGAUCUGCCCUGCACUUCGGGAUAAGCCUGGGAAACUGGGUCUAAUACCGGAUAGGACGAUGGUUUGGAUGCCAUUGUGGAAAGUUUUUUCGGUGUGGGAUGAGCUCGCGGCCUAUCAGCUUGUUGGUGGGGUAAUGGCCUACCAAGGCGUCGACGGGUAGCCGGCCUGAGAGGGUGUACGGCCACAUUGGGACUGAGAUACGGCCCAGACUCCUACGGGAGGCAGCAGUGGGGAAUAUUGCACAAUGGGCGCAAGCCUGAUGCAGCGACGCCGCGUGGGGGAUGACGGCCUUCGGGUUGUAAGCUCCUUUCGCUAGGGACGAAGCGCAAGUGACGGUACCUGGAGAAGAAGCACCGGCUAACUACGUG